ACUGAAACAUCUAAGUACCUGGAGGAAGAGAAAGCAAAUGCGAUUUCCUGAGUAGCGGCGAGCGAAACGGAACAUAGCCCAAACCAAGAGGCUUGCCUCUUGGGGUUGUAGGACAUUCUAUACGGAGUUACAAAGGAACGAGGUAGACGAAGCGACCUGGAAAGGUCCGUCGUAGAGGGUAACAACCCCGUAGUCGAAACUUCGUUCUCUCUUGAAUGUAUCCUGAGUACGGCGGAACACGUGAAAUUCCGUCGGAAUCUGGGAGGACCAUCUCCCAAGGCUAAAUACUCCCUAGUGAUCGAUAGUGAACCAGUACCGUGAGGGAAAGGUGAAAAGCACCCCGGAAGGGGAGUGAAAGAGAUCCUGAAACCGUGUGCCUA
This 380-nucleotide ribosomal RNA is filed under the name Bacillus anthracis (anthrax bacterium). RNAcentral's name for it is "partial 23S ribosomal RNA". It matches the Rfam family "Bacterial large subunit ribosomal RNA", at positions 192 to 566 of the family's 2925-position model. Lineage: Bacteria; Bacillati; Bacillota; Bacilli; Caryophanales; Bacillaceae. The record is from RNAcentral. RNAcentral also lists the same sequence under 1 other name.